GUCAGUCGGCGCAUGAGAUUAAGACAUCACCUGGAUAUGAUUAGAGUUCUACAGCCACUGAGAAACAAAAAAAAGAGAGAGAGGAUAGGCUAAUUCCAAUCUGUUACAUCUAACCACGAGAAAUAAAAGAAAAGAAAAAAGACUCACAAUAGUUCAACCACAUGACAUAAGAAAAAAAUAAAAUAAAAUAAAAUAAAAGACUCAAAACUCAGGUUGCCUCCCGAGAAGCGCUCUUUC
Molecule: long non-coding RNA, 237 nt
Filed under: Linum usitatissimum (flax)
Lineage: Eukaryota; Viridiplantae; Streptophyta; Magnoliopsida; Malpighiales; Linaceae
Description: long non-coding RNA (LUSI_LNC005959)
Source: RNAcentral